UGGUUCUGGCAUCGAUGAAGAACGCAGCGAAAUGCGAUAAGUAAUGUGAAUUGCAGAAUUCAGUGAAUCAUCGAAUCUUUGAACGCACAUUGCGCCCUUUGGUAUUCCGAGGGGCAUGCCUGUUCGAGCGUCAUUUAAACCAUCAAGCACCGCUUGGCCUUGGACCUCGGUCUCUAGAGAGCACCCGGUCCGAAACCUAGAGUGGCGUUCCCGUCGAGCCUCAAGCGUAGCAAGAAUUACUCCCUCGCUUCAAGGGCCUCGGGCGGGAUCUGCCCCGAAAAUCACCCCCAGAGUUUGACCUCGGAUCAGGUAGGGAUACCCGCUGA
This 326-nucleotide unclassified non-coding RNA is filed under the name uncultured fungus. RNAcentral's name for it is "partial contains 5.8S ribosomal RNA and internal transcribed spacer 2". The stretch from base 1 to 133 matches the Rfam family "5.8S ribosomal RNA", at positions 22 to 154 of the family's 154-position model. The record is from RNAcentral. Lineage: Eukaryota; Fungi.